Molecule: ribosomal RNA, 257 nt
Filed under: uncultured bacterium
Lineage: Bacteria
Description: partial 16S ribosomal RNA
Rfam family: Bacterial small subunit ribosomal RNA
Source: RNAcentral
UACAGAGACCUCAAGCGUUAUCCGGAAUCAUUGGGCGUAAAGCGUACCGAUAUGUUGUUUUGAAAGUUUUGGGUAAAAGCCAGAAGCUCAACUUCUGAGUUUGCUCAAAAUACUGCAAAACUAGAGGGGCAAAGAGGAGACUGGAACGAACGGUGUAGUAGUGAAAUGCGUUGAUAUCGUUCGGAACACCGAAAGCGAAGGCAGGUCUCUGGGUGCCACCUGACACUGCUAGGACGAAAGCGUGGGGAGUGAAUGGG